Pan troglodytes (chimpanzee) is the source of this 404-nucleotide RNA transcript. RefSeq lists it as uncharacterized. The record is from RefSeq and is a predicted model, not a curated record. Lineage: Eukaryota; Metazoa; Chordata; Mammalia; Primates; Hominidae. The transcript has 3 exons.
AGACGCCGCGCGCUUACCAGGGCGCGCGAGGCGCCGCAGGGGGGAGGCUUCUCCGAAAGCCGCGAGGGUAGCUCCGUGUGUCCGCUGUGCAAACCGGUCCUUCCGCCAAAAACCUGCUGUCUGGCUUUUCUCAGGCCUCCCUGGAUGGAUGUUGGAGAGUUUACGCGUGGCCUUGUGGGAUCGCUGUGGCCGACUCUCAGCUAUCAGAGGGCUCCAUCGCUGUAUCGUAAGGAGGCAGCUGGUGGCAAGUCCUGAGCAGGGAUGUGAUCCGACGGGCAGGCGGUGCCCGGGACAGAAGCUGACGUCACACAGCCACCCCAUGACGUCACCGGUGCCAAGUGCCGGCCGUGUGCGGAGCAGUUGGAGACACAGUGGGUGUCCGAGGCGGGGCUCUGCGUCCGAAG